GCCGGUGUAGCUCAGUUGGUAGAGCAACUGAUUUGUAAUCAGUGGGUCGGGGGUUCGAGUCCUCUCACCGGCU
This 73-nucleotide transfer RNA is filed under the name Nitrospina gracilis Nb-211. Its description in RNAcentral is "tRNA-Thr". It matches the Rfam family "tRNA". From Rfam's summary of the family: Transfer RNA (tRNA) molecules are approximately 80 nucleotides in length. Their secondary structure includes four short double-helical elements and three loops (D, anti-codon, and T loops). RNAcentral also lists the same sequence under 4 other names. Lineage: Bacteria; Pseudomonadati; Nitrospinota; Nitrospinia; Nitrospinales; Nitrospinaceae. The record is from RNAcentral.